RNAcentral lists this ribosomal RNA (448 nucleotides) under uncultured bacterium. RNAcentral describes it as "bacterial SSU rRNA". It matches the Rfam family "Bacterial small subunit ribosomal RNA", at positions 330 to 792 of the family's 1533-position model. The record is from RNAcentral.
UCCAGACUCCUACGGGAGGCAGCAGUGGGGGAUAUUGCACAAUGGGGGAAACCCUGAUGCAGCGACGCCGCGUGGGCGAAGAAGUAUUUCGGUAUGUAAAGCCCUCUCAGCAGGGAAGAAGAAAUGACGGUACCUGAGUAAGAAGCCCCGGCUAAAUACGUGCCAGCAGCCGCGGUAAUACGUAUGGGGCAAGCGUUAUCCGGAUUUACUGGGUGUAAAGGGAGCGUAGGCGGCAGGGCAAGCCUGAUGUGAAAGCCCGGGGCUCAACCCCGGGACUGCAUUGGGAACUGCCCCGCUCGAGUGCCGGAGGGGCAGGCGGAAUUCCUAGUGUAGCGGUGAAAUGCGUAGAUAUUAGGAGGAACACCAGUGGCGAAGGCGGCCUGCUGGACGGUGUACUGACGCUGAGGCUCGAAAGCGUGGGGAGCAAACAGGAUUAGAUACCCCCGUA